Molecule: long non-coding RNA, 4710 nt
Organism: Brassica napus (rape)
Lineage: Eukaryota; Viridiplantae; Streptophyta; Magnoliopsida; Brassicales; Brassicaceae
Exons: 4
Source: RefSeq, a predicted model, not a curated record
GCCCGAUUGCCAACGAAGACAUACUUCUCGUCUUUAUCGUUCUUCUUAGGAAGUGGGUUUCAAGUUUCCUCAAUCGUUCGUUGAAUCUACAUGAAAGCGCUUGACUCCGCGUGAAACCGUCGUUGAGUAUGUGUGAAGCCAUAACAACUGAAGAUAAGUUUGAAUCUGUGAGCCGAACAGCCGAAGCAACAAAACAGAUAAGCUCUUUUUUUUUUUUCUUGAUCCUUUUAAUAAGAUUUUCAAAGGUUUUUAUCCAAUCCAAGAGAUGAGCCUUUUUGCUUUGGUUUUUAUCAAAACAGAGAAGCUUUGUUUUGGUUUUUCAUCAAACCCCAAAAAGGAUCAUAGGCAGACACUAAUCUGAUAGUGUGCUGACAGAUUCUUAUUUGGGGACAUUGUCCCGUUGCUGAAGCCUAGACCCAUAGAAAUUUUUAAAUCAUGGCCCCAACAACUAUUGGUUGGUGGUAGUGCAUGCCUAAAAAAUGGGGACAUUGUCCGCUUGAUGGUUGGUGGUAGUGCAAAAGAUGGAAAGUAUGACAUACUUUAGUUACCCACGGCUUUUACAUAAACAACAACAAACAACUUAAGAAAAGUUUUUAGACAGAGACUGAGAUGGUACCCACGGCUUGAUACUGUUGGAUGGAAAUGUUCCGUGGCUUUCAAAAUAGUCUUUAGACAAAAAAGACUAUCAAACAUUGGAUGGAUGGAUGGAUCAAACGACCCACAAGUCCACAACUUACCAAAAAAACACACAAAGAAUGUGAAUGUUGGAUGGAUUAAACGACAAACAAUACAACAUAAAGACUGAGAAUGUUUGGAUGGAUAAAAUGAGAAAAACAAAGACUGAGUUACCCACGGCUUAUAAAGGUUUUAAACAAAGACCUUGACUUCUAUGAAGAGUCUUUAGACAAUAUCUUACCCACGGCUUAUGAAAAGUUUUUAGACAAAGACUUUGACUUGCUUGUUACACACGGCUUAUGAAAAAGUCUUUAGAACAAGUAAGUUAAAACAGCUUUAUGAAGAGUCUUUAGACAAUACUACUGCCCACGGCAUUACAAAGGCUUUUUUUAGACAAAGACUCAACUCAACUUGGACAAUACUACUAUUACCCACGGCUUAUAAAAGGUCUUAAAGAUAGAAAUUAUGAACCCUUUAGACUUCUAAGUUUAUUUGAUGUGAAAACGACUAAAUGUGGAUGAAAAAAAAAAACUGCAUGCGGCUUAGAAAAGUCUUACACAAAGACUAUGUUUGUUUGAGUUGUUGUACGGUGAACACGACCAACAACUUAAAACAGAGACUUUGAACCAAAAGGCAAAAACCAUAUCUGUUCUUCAGUAACCACAAGGCUUCAGAGAAAGACCAACGGCUUAAAAGACGAAUAAUAUGAAAGAAAAACAGACUCUUUACUUCACCACAAGCCUCAACAAAAGGUAUUUUGACAAAGACUACAUGUCAGUGUUUAGCUUGUUGGAUGGAAAAAAAACGACCAACGGCUUAAACUAAGUAUUAAGACUUGAACUAUGAACCGAAAUUGAGUUGGAAAAAUGACUAACAGCUUGAACCAAGUCUUAUGACAGAGAGUAUGAAGUGGAAAAAUUUCUCAAAUACUGUUACCCAAGACUAUGAAUGGAAUAUAAAAAAAAUCUUUAUGAGAAUCAAAAACAGAUACCCAGAGCUUUGAAAAGUCUGUAGACAGAGAUUCUUUGGGGACAUUCAUGUCACAACUAUUGGUUGGUAGUGCAUGCCUAAGCAAAGGAUGGAAAGUCUUUAGACAGACUUUGAUUGUACCCACGGCUUAGAGAACUAACAAACGGCUUAAGAAAAGUCUUCAGACAGACUUUGAUUGUACCCACGGCGUGCAAUAAGAUUUUAGACAAAGACUGUCUUGAAAACGUCUGAUGAAGAGUCUUUAGUCCAUAUCUACCCACGGGUUAGGAAAAGUUUCUAUACAGAGACUUUGAGUUUCUUGCUACACAUGGCUUAUGAAUAGUCUUCAGACAAAUAAUGAUUUUAAAACGGCUUACUGAGAGUCUUUAGACAAUAUCUACCCACGGCUUACGAAAAAUCUUUGGUUUUAAGACAAAGACUUAACCUAGACAUACUAUACUACCCACGGCUUUAUGAAGAGUUUUCAGACAAAGACUGUUGAAUCUUAAACAGAUUUAUUGCCACAGCUUAAAAAGUCUUCAGACAAAUACUAAGGGUUAGUUUUGGACUUUGUGGAUAGAAUGGAGAAAACGUCAUAACAAUACCAGUACCCACGGCUUCAAAGAAGUUUAUACACGAAUCCAAUGAAUUGGUUUUGGAGUUGAUAUGAAUCAAAAUCAGACUCCUUACAUCACCACAAGCCUAUUUAGACAAAGACUAUAUGUCAGUGUUUAGCUUGUUUGAUGGAAAACGACCAACACAGAGUGUAUGAACCACACAUUGAGUUGGUUCUUCUGACUUGUUGCUUGGGAAAACUCACCAAUGACUUAAGACAGAGACUAUGAACCAAGUCUUACGGCUUAUAUGAAUUUCUCAGAUACAUAAACCUAAGACUUUGAACAGAAUAGAAAGACUUUUAAUGAUAACUGAAAACAGAUAUCAUAACGUGAAGUAAAGACUAAUGAAUUCUGUUUUUUUCUCAGGUAUGCAUGUGCUUCAGAAGGUGCUCAUUUUAAGUGUAGCAGGUUUCUUUGUAAUUAUGCUUUCUAAAUUUCUCAGGUUUGGGCUUGCUUGUUCAUUAUCUCGUUGAUGCCAAGGUUCUGUUCAGGUAUAUGCUUUUCUUGACUUUUUCUCUUCUGAAAAUUUAUAAAGUAGUUAAGUGAUGUACACGUAAACUAAAGAAACUGGAGAAAAGUAACUGAAAUGUUUUUCUUAGAAAAAAUAACAUUUUGUUUGUGUGUCAGUGUUUGUAAUCCCUAAUUUUGUGAAAUGAAUGUAUGUUGGAGUCUCUUGGAAAUCAAAGUAAGUGAGAGACUCCUGCAUAUUGUGGUGGUAGUUUAAAAAAAAAAAAUUAUAAUGUUUCUCUUUUGUGUUAUACUCCUAAAAUCCAGUGAUCAUUCUAAAACAAUGUUAGUAAUCUCUUUAUAGUUUGGCGCUUAGAGUUACUUAUAGAUCAACAUAUGUGAAGACUGCAGAUUGUAGUAUUAUUUUCUUUGGAUAUUGAAUGUUUGUGUGUUUGUGUGUUUGUGUACGGACAUUACCCUCUGUGAUCAGUGUAAACAUGCGAAAUGACAUCUUCACAUUUAUGCAUUUAACGCUGCUGAUUGCUAUGUUAGAUUCGAAUUGUAUAUGUUUGUAUUUCCAUUAGCUUUGGUUUGGUGCUUGUGAAAUGGUUGUGCUUUGGAGUCUAUUGUAGAUCAAUGUAGGUGAGAGACUCCUGCAGAUUGUGGUGGUAGUUUCUUUGAAUCUUGAAUGUUUCUGUUUUGUGUUAUACUCCUCCUAACCCUCAGUGAUCAUUCUAACAGUGUUAGUAAUUUCUUCAGUUUGGUGCUUGUAUGUAUUAUAAGGUCUCUCAUUUUAUGAAAUAGAUGCAUAUUCAAAUCUCUUCUCUUGUCAAUCAACAUGUGUGAAAGACUGCAGAUUUUGGUAGUAGUUUCACUGAAUCUUGAUUGAUUAUGUUUACUUUUAGGCGCAUAACUCUCUGGUGAUCAUUAUAAACAUGUGAAAUGACAUCUUCAGAAUUUUGCAUUCUACCUUGAUGAUUACUAUAACUAUGUUAAAUACUAUAAAUUGUAUAUGUUGACUUGAAGUUUCCCUGCUAUGGUACUUGUGUUUAUCCCUUGGUUUUUGAGUCUUGACAACAUUUCUCUCAUUUAUGUAGUUUCCUUGAAUCUUGAAUGUUUAUGUUUUGUGUUAUGCUCCUAACGCUUGGUGAGCAUUCGAAACAUGUUCACAUUUUCUAGAAUUGUGCAUCAUAUGCCGACGCUUACAUGUUACAUUCUAUAAAUUAUACAUGUUGAAUUUAAUUUUUACAUUUUCUAGAAUUGUGCAUCGUAUUAAGCAUGGAAACCUAUUGAAUCAAUAUGUGGAGUUAUUAGAAUGUGCAACUGAUCAUUCUCGAGUUUUUAUUAUUGAUAGAUGUCACAUUCAAGAUAUUAGUCGUAUCUAAAAUCUAUAUGUAAUCAUGUGAGUAGGUGUUCUAUCAUAUUUACAUAUUGAAACAAUAUACAUUAUUACAAAAUUUUACUAUAUAUAUUUAAACUUUUAAGUCUUAACCCCCCCCCACCCCACCACAAACAAAAUCUUCCUUUUCCGAUUAAUAACCUAACCAUUUUUUUUUAAUAACCUAAACAUAAAGUACAUUUAGUUGAAUAUUUAUUCAACUUAUGUCUCCAAUCUUUACAAGCAGCUAAAGUCUAUCUUUCUCAUUGAUAUGAGAACAAACCAAUGUACUGAUCGUACUGCCAACUUAUCUUCAUGUGAUUAAAGGGUAUCAACUUACUGAUCGUACUGCCAACUUAUCUUCAUGUGAUUAAAGGGUAUCAACUUAGUGGACAUCCGUUAAGGCAAUGGCAUGACACUAUGGGACGAUCGUUACGGCACGUGGACAUAAUUUAAUUACCAGAAUAAAGUCUGGUAUCUUUUCUUUGUUUUUAUUUUCACUGAUAAUGUUUUGGAAGUGAUGGAUAUAAAUGUUUGAAAAAGAAGAUAAAUGUACCAAGUAGAAGGAUAGUAUUUGCAGAGAGAUAACUCUGUAAAGUUAUAAAAUCCCUACAGGAUGAUGAA